UUUUCUUGGUUAGGCCACGUGCUUCUGUCUUUCAUUUGCGUUGAAAACUUUGUGGAAAGAUGGCACGUUGACUUGAAAGAGCUCGUGGACAGCCAAAACAAGAUGGCGACAUGUCAGGCAAGCUUCCAUUUUAUUGGAUAUGAAAUGCACAGACAGUUGCGGACAUGAUUUUAUGACCUAAGUGAGGUUAUAUUGAAGACCAAUAAGUUUACUUGGCUUGAUGCAAGGUAAAUAUCCAAAGCUUUUAAAUCCACGUGUUUUAUAUUUAUACAAAAAUUCAACAAAAUGAUGAUUAUUUCAAUUACCUUUUGCGGUUUCCACCAGAAAGCAUUUGCUUAAAGAUGGCCUUAGGCGUCUGAUUCAAUCCUUUUAUAUCAAUAUUGUAUUUAUGUAGACAUUACCAUUCUAAUGCCAAUCUUUGUUUUUUUA
Drosophila navojoa is the source of this 429-nucleotide long non-coding RNA. The record is from RefSeq and is a predicted model, not a curated record. Lineage: Eukaryota; Metazoa; Arthropoda; Insecta; Diptera; Drosophilidae.